CUUUCAAUUGUAGGUAUUUAAAAAUUGUAACACGGGCCACCUCAUCAGACUCAGGUUCCUAUGCAUGUGAAAGUGGAAAGAAGGACAUGGAGAUUUUCAAAGGCACCUGGCAAGGACUGGGGGGGCUUGGAAAAUGAUCAGAAAUAAAGGAAUCUGGAGUUUCACCCCAGAAGGGACUCAUGGGAGAGGAAUUCGUGUGGGUGCUUGGAGCCAUCAUCCAGGAAAGAGAACAACACAAGUGAGCGGGCCUGGAAAAUCACAGCCAGACUUAAAGCAAAAAAGAAUUGUUAUACAAUUUUAGGGAAGUCAGCAUUUAAUUUGCAAGGUACGAGACCCCUGUAUGAGACUGUGCACAGCCGUAGCCCUGGAUUGAGAGGUGUGACAGCUGGAAGGCCACCGCCCCAUCCCAGCCUUGGUGUCCUGCCCGGCUGGCCUCAGACAAAUGCCAACAUUGUCAGGCCUUGGGAUAAACCCUGAUUUUUUUCUUCCUCUAAUAUGAAAAUCUAAUUUGGCAAAAAGAACAUUGGAAAGGGUUCAGUAGCCUCGACCCUGAUGUGCUCUGCUUUCCCAUCCAUCCUGAGAGUUAUUUGUGAAGAUCAAAUAAGAUGAAGAAACUGAGGCCUAGAGAAGUAGAGUAACUUGCCCAAGGCCACAGGCCUUGCAAAUAAAGGAGCUGAUGGAAGAGGUCUGCCUGAAAGGUUGCCCUUUUCUUUGGCAGUUGAUGGCAUGGCUAGUGCUCAGUCAUCUGGUCACCACAACUCUACUGAGCCCCUCCCCUGGGUGCUGGACUGGCUCUAACACUGUGCGAACAGACAGAGGAAGGCUCAUGCUUGUGGAGCCAACGUUCUAAGUUGGGGAAGAGUCAAUGUAUGAAUUUUAAAAACAGUAAAACAAGAUCAUUUCAGAGAACGGAAGACAACAGCAAGCACGGGCCACCUGUGACCACGUGGACCCUAGGACCCAAGAGCAUGGCCCUGGAGCUGCCUGGCCCUACUGGCCUAGACUGGGCCUCGGCCACGCGCUCCUCACCUUCACAGUGGCAUUGCAGUACCGGGCACAGCCGCUCUUCAGGCUCCCAAACCUGCCACUGUAGACACAUCUGUGUGUGAAGAGUGCCUGGAGAAAGCCAAGGAGGGAAAGCAUGGCAGUCAGCAUGUUUAGGUCCUCCAGGCACUGCACACCCUCUGCAGACACUUGCCAUUGUACUUCCAUUUCACCACUGACGUCAGGAGAGAGUGCUGGACCACACUAGCAGACCUGGGUCUACAUCAGAGCUUGGACACCCUUUUUUAGGCCUGUUCCCUUGUUGGUGGAAUACAGGCCAGAGUUUGCAUCAUCCAUGGCCCACAGAUCUUUAUUCCCUCUUCCAUGCCACAGCAGAUGUCUCUAAGCAGAAAAUAUUUUCUGUUCAUUCUGGAUACGGUCUAGUCUCCCCUUCCGAUCUAUAGCCAUCCCUAAGAUCUCCUACAGAGACAUUUUGGAGCCCCCAAAGGGUCUAUCUACACUUCAUUGAAAGGUUUGCCAAACAAAAUUGUGAUAGUCUGAGUUUUUCUCUUAGGAGUGGGGCAGAUUUAUAUGCAUCCUUCCAUUCUAACCAACAAUGCCCACUCAUAAUUAUCUAGAACUCAUGUUUACUGAGAACAUUUUAUGGGCCAGACACAUUGCACAGAUGAGUUCAUCAAUCUUCAAUUCUAUGUGGAUGUUUCUCAUGCCAUUUUUUAUAGAUAAGGAAACAGGCCCAGACAGGUUAAAUCAUUUUUUCCAAGAAACACUGAUAGUAAGUAUAAGGUCUAGAGAAUGGGUCUUAUCACGUACAGACUUUAGGAUCACAGUCAUGUAGCCUCUGUGGGCCUCAGCUGCCUAAUUUAUAAAAUAUCAAGAAAAUAUUGAUGAGACAAUAAUGCUGAUUUCAAGUUUUGUCACGAGAAUUUAGUCUCUGGUUCAAAUUUUGUUUUAGAUAAUUGUUGAUGUCAAGCUUAUCCCUUCAUCUUAGGCUGUUGCUCAAGAAGAGGGCAAUGAGACUUUCCUAGGCUAUAAAAUCCUAAAAUAUUAGCUAUAUGAAGGAAUUCUGAGGUCACUGAGGAAGGAGCACUACAGUCCUUUUGGGAAUCUCAGGAUAAUUAACCAGGUGUGGGUCACAGGAUUCCCGGGAUGGGUGAUUUGAGGGCUUCUUUUGGCUCCUACCCAUGUGUCUAAUUUCCCUUUCUUUUCCCUCUUCCUUCUCUUUCCCUGGGCUGAGACAAUCAUAGAAUGGUGAUUAAACAUGUAGAACAAAUCAUGGUUCUGCCACAUCAGCUGUGUGACCUUGUACAAGGUGGUUUACGUUUCCUUGCCUUAGUGCCCUAAUCAUACAUUGGUUAUGGUGAUAAUAUACCCACCUCGUGGGGCUGCUGCAUAAAGCAUUUAGAACAAUGUCUGGCACACAGCAAUCACUGUGACACCAGCCAACACAAUUUCCUCUUCUCCUCCCUCUCACAUUCCCUGCUUGACAGCAUCCUGAAGGACUCAGGGGUAAUGCCUUUGUUAAGCAAAAUAAAUAUCUGAACACCUGCAUCUAUUUAAUUUUAAUGUUUUGCUUUACUAAAUACUUCACAAUAGAAUCACAUUAAAGAGCUCAUAACCUUACCUAAUGAUCUAUUCUAGUGUUUAAUGCCACUUCUCAUUGGUAAGUUCUUUCUUAUGAUAAACUUAUAGGCAAAAAUUUCUAUCAUCAUUUUUGCCUUAGAACACUUUGCUUUUUACCACCAAUAGAGUCCUUGGCAUAUGAAUGAUAGAUCAUUGCACAACUGUUUUCCUUUUUAGAUGGAGCUUCUCAGAUAAAAGCAAAAUGAAAUGAUUUCUUAUUCAUCCUCAUGCCUCUGGAAGCAAGCACUAUGUCUGAUAUAUGCUCAAUCCUCAAUAAAUGUGUACAGAAUUCAAUUAAACUUGGAAGCUUUUGAUAGUCCCAGUA
RNAcentral lists this long non-coding RNA (2950 nucleotides) under Homo sapiens (human). RNAcentral's name for it is "HSALNT0194199". The record is from RNAcentral. Lineage: Eukaryota; Metazoa; Chordata; Mammalia; Primates; Hominidae.